UUAAGUUCAGCGGGUAUUCCUACCUGAUUUGAGGUCAAGAGUUCAAAAGUUGUCCGUAAAGGACGAUUAGAAGCUGAACAGACAGAGAGCAGUGGUCGUUUGUGGCGUAGAUAAUUAUCACACCGGCAACGUACCGCAAACGGUUCCGCUAAUGCAUUUCAGGGGAGCCGACCUCAGAAAGGCCCGCAAAAACCCCCAAC
RNAcentral lists this unclassified non-coding RNA (200 nucleotides) under Lepiota sp. RNAcentral's name for it is "partial internal transcribed spacer 2". Lineage: Eukaryota; Fungi; Basidiomycota; Agaricomycetes; Agaricales; Agaricaceae. The record is from RNAcentral.